AGUUAGGUCUAAAAAGUGAACUUGUGCAUUACUAUAUUCUGAGGUUAGGAUGAUACCCCAAUCAUUGGUAUUUAAAAAGGAUUUGAAGCUUUCCUCCGUACCUUUCCAGAUAAAAAAAAAAUAUUGUCUAUGUAUCUUUUGUAAGUGACCAGGUUCGCCUCCCAGUGGUUAUUGGAUAGAAUUAAAAUUUGUUCCCAAAAUGCCAUAAAAAGAUUGGCAUAACUGGGGGCGAACCUAGUCCCCUUCGCUGUGCCGACCUUUUGUAACUAAAAAUCAUACCCACGU
Pelobates cultripes (western spadefoot toad) is the source of this 285-nucleotide non-coding RNA. Lineage: Eukaryota; Metazoa; Chordata; Amphibia; Anura; Pelobatidae. The record is from the annotation of a GenBank genome assembly.